AUUGAACGCUGGCGGCAGGCCUAACACAUGCAAGUCGAGCGGAUGAAGGGAGCUUGCUCCUGGAUUCAGCGGCGGACGGGUGAGUAAUGCCUAGGAAUCUGCCUGGUAGUGGGGGAUAACGUCCGGAAACGGGCGCUAAUACCGCAUACGUCCUGAGGGAGAAAGUGGGGGAUCUUCGGACCUCACGCUAUCAGAUGAGCCUAGGUCGGAUUAGCUAGUUGGUGGGGUAAAGGCCUACCAAGGCGACGAUCCGUAACUGGUCUGAGAGGAUGAUCAGUCACACUGGAACUGAGACACGGUCCAGACUCCUACGGGAGGCAGCAGUGGGGAAUAUUGGACAAUGGGCGAAAGCCUGAUCCAGCCAUGCCGCGUGUGAGGAAGGUCUUCGGAUUGUAAAGCACUUUAAGUUGGGAGGAAGGGCAGUAAGUUAAUACCUUGCUGUUUUGACGUUACCAACAGAAUAAGCACCGGCUAACUUCGUG
Molecule: ribosomal RNA, 482 nt
Filed under: uncultured bacterium
Lineage: Bacteria
Description: partial 16S ribosomal RNA
Rfam family: Bacterial small subunit ribosomal RNA
Source: RNAcentral